UUAGCAUAUAAGUAAGCGGCGGGCAAUAAACUAAACAGGACCCCCAUGUAAUGGCGAAUGAGCAGGGAUGAGCUCAGCGUGGAAAUUGGGGCCUGAGGCCCUGACUUGUAGGCUGGUGAGGUGUUGCCAACAGAGGCGCAGAUGUAAGUCUUCUCUCUGGAAAAGAGCAUCAAUGAGGGUGAGAAUCCUGCUUGCCAUUUGCAGACCCCUGUGCACGGUGUGCCCACAUCGAGUCACGUUCCUUGGGAUUGGAGCGCAAAGUGGGUGGUAACUUUCAUCUGAAGCUAAAUAUUGGUUGAAGACCGAUAGGAAACAAGUACCAUGAGGGAAAGAUGAAAAGGACUUUGGAAAGAGAGUUAAAAGUGCCUGAAAUUGCUGAAAGGGAAGCGAAUGGAGCCAGUGUGCCCGGGCGAGAUUGUCAUAUGUGAUAAUGAUCGGUUGCUGCUUCAUCGUAAGUGUUCUUGCAAUCAUUGAUCUAUGAGUGUGUGGUGUGUCUUGCCUUGAAUGUCAUCGCGGGCUUCUGUAUUACGACAAUUCAAAGUUCAGGGUAUUAUGUUUGUGAAGGUAUGAAUGUUCUUUGCUAUGCUUGUGCGCAAGCUUCUCUUGACUGUGUGUUUGCUGUGUGGCGCCCCAACACAGCGGGGCCACACACCAUUUUCUACACAGCUGAUGACUAAAUGAUUCUAUUC
RNAcentral lists this ribosomal RNA (689 nucleotides) under Phalacroma rapa. RNAcentral describes it as "LSU rRNA". It matches the Rfam family "Eukaryotic large subunit ribosomal RNA", at positions 35 to 645 of the family's 3401-position model. The record is from RNAcentral. Lineage: Eukaryota; Dinophyceae; Dinophysales; Dinophysaceae.